GGGGAUGACGUCAAGUCAUCAUGCCCUUACGAGUAGGGCUACACACGUGCUACAAUGGCAGAUACAAAGAGAAGCGACCUCGCGAGAGCAAGCGGAACUCAUAAAGUCUGUCGUAGUCCGGAUUGGAGUCUGCAACUCGACUCCAUGAAGUCGGAAUCGCUAGUAAUCGUAGAUCAGAAUGCUACGGUGAAUACGUUCCCGGGCCUUUGUACACACCGCCCGUCACACCAUGGGAGUGGGUUGCAAAAGAAGUAGGUAGCUUAACCUUCGGGAGGGCGCUUACCACUUU
Molecule: ribosomal RNA, 289 nt
Filed under: Shigella sp. FC1967
Lineage: Bacteria; Pseudomonadati; Pseudomonadota; Gammaproteobacteria; Enterobacterales; Enterobacteriaceae
Description: partial 16S ribosomal RNA
Rfam family: Bacterial small subunit ribosomal RNA
Source: RNAcentral